CCUACGGGGUGCAGCAGUGAGGAAUAUUGGUCAAUGGGCGGGAGCCUGAACCAGCCAAGCCGCGUGAGGGAAGAAGGCUCCAAGCAUCGUAAACCUCUUUUAUCAGGGAAUAAAGUGCGGGACGUGUCCCAUUUUGUGUGUACCCGAUGAAUAAGGAUCGGCUAACUCCGUGCCAGCAGCCGCGGUAAUACGGAGGAUCCGAGCGUUAUCCGGAUUUAUUGGGUUUAAAGGGUGCGUAGGCGGGCGUGGAAGUCAGCGGUGAAAGCCCGGGGCUCAACCACAGAAUGGCCGUUGAAACUGGCGGACUAGAGAAUGUGAGAAGCAGGCGGAAUGCGUGGUGUAGCGGUGAAAUGCAUAGAUAUCACGCAGAACCCCGAUUGCGAAGGCAGCGU
This 392-nucleotide ribosomal RNA is filed under the name uncultured bacterium. RNAcentral's name for it is "partial 16S ribosomal RNA". It matches the Rfam family "Bacterial small subunit ribosomal RNA", at positions 338 to 727 of the family's 1533-position model. The record is from RNAcentral.